UCUUUUCCAGGGUCCCACUCAGAAAACCACAUUACAAUUAGCUGACAAGUCUCUUUAGGUUCCUCUUGGCUGUGAUGGUUUCUCAGAAUUUUUCUGUUUUUGAUAACCUUGCCAGUUUUGAAGAGUACUGCUAAGAUAUUUUGAAGAAUGCCCCUCACUGGAUUUGUCUGAUGUUUUUUCUCAUGAUCAGACAAGGGUUAUGGGUUUUGGGAGGAAGACCACAAAGGUAAAGCGUCAUUUUCAUUUUCACUAUCAAGAGCAUAGGCUAUCAAUAUGACUUAUCACUGUUGAUAUUAAUCUUGAUUACCUGAGUUAGUAUUCGUCAGGUUUCUCCACUGAAGUUUUUUUUUUCUCCUUUCCAAACUGAUAACCUUAGGAAGGAAGUCACUAUGCAUAGUCCAUACUUAACAAGUGGGAGUUAAGCCCCACCUCCUUGAGGGUGCAGCAUCUACAUAAAUUACAUGGAAUUCUUCUGCAGGAGAUUUGUAUCUUCUGUCUCAUUUAUUUAUUUAUUUCAGCAUUUACUUAGUCAUUAUAGACUGAUGGUUAUUUAUUCUAUAGUUCAGUUUAUAUUCCAAUACUAUUUAUUUUGUUGUUUAAACUGUUCCAGCUUUGGGAAAUCAUUUAGUUGGUGCUUGUGUCCCUUUUACAUAACCCCGUCAUUGUCGUUCUUCAUUUCUUUCCUUAUUAACUUCCUCAGUUGUUGGCAGUACAAGCAAGACGUUCCAGGCUUAUUUUAGGUAUUUACUUCAUUGGUUCUACAAUCAUCCGUUAAUCCAAGAAUCCCCGGCUCCUCAUAUUGGAGACUGGUAUUUGAAACUAAAGUCUGAGCAUUAGAUGCCCUCAAUAUUACACAUGUUUCAAAGUUUGCUCUUUUUUAUUAAUAAGUACUUCAUAGCGUAGGCGUGUCAUAGUUUAAUCGUCCACGAGUGGAAGGAUACCUGGACUCUUCCCAUUUUUGGCUAUUAAUAAAGUUGCUAGGGAACAUUCAUCUUCUCCUGGAUUAAAUGCCCAAGAGUGUAAUUCCUAAGUCAUAAGGUUAGUGCAUGUUCUGUUUUAAAAGAAACAGGCUAAAACUUUAGAAUGCUGGAGUGGCUUACCAUUUUAUAUCCCAUUUCCACAAGCAGCAUGAGUGAUCCAGUUCCUCCGUAUCCUUGCCAACAUCUGGGAUUAUUUUUAAGCCAUUUUGGUAGGUGUGUAGUGAUAUUUUAUUUUGAUUUUAUAAUAAUAUUUUCUCUGCGGCUGAGAACAAAGGAAGGACGGAGGGGAAAAAGCGCCAGAUCUUGUGAGAACACGAAAACGCAAGAGCAGGAGAGCGUGAGAAUCUCGCGAGAAAGCGCGCAGAUUCCUGAGAGAACCAGGUUGCCUGAGAAAACCUCUGGGCUCCUGAGAGAGGGAGAGAGAAAGGGGCACUGUCUCGUGUUGGCUCAGCGAUUGUAGAUUUCAUUGGCUUUAACCAAAGGAGAACUUUCCAACAGAGAUUGAAACUUAAGAAGCACUAAACAAGAAAUCCAGUAGAGUGGAAGACCAAGGGACAGAAAAGUCAAGAAACUUAUUUAAGGUGUCAUUGCUAGAAAGUGGUUGAACCAGGAUUCAGCACAACCAGCCUGGCCUAGAAUCUGUGUUUUAAACACAGGUAAGUUGUAUUUUUUUAAUCAAAUAAACUUUCUGAACCUGAAAAUUUGUAUAAGAUCACAAAUAAAGGAUAAAUUUGCCAAAUAAAUUCUGUUCUAAGAUGGGAAGAAGUAUUUUGGAGGCCCCCCAUUUUACUCCAAGCGACAGACCUCUGUAUUUCUGUGCAGUCUUGGUUUUCUCUUCAAAAGUCUGUGACAAGGAUAGGUACAGACAACUUAAAUAAAGUAAAGAUAAAAAGUAUUUAUUAGUCUUGAGAGCAUUGCAAU
Molecule: non-coding RNA, 1901 nt
Organism: Sus scrofa (pig)
Lineage: Eukaryota; Metazoa; Chordata; Mammalia; Artiodactyla; Suidae
Source: RefSeq, a predicted model, not a curated record